GUAGUGAUAGCUUAGUUGGGAGAGCAUCAGAUUAAAGAUCUGAAAGUCGCAUGUUCAAUCCAUGCUCAUCA
Vigna radiata var. radiata (mung bean) is the source of this 71-nucleotide non-coding RNA. Lineage: Eukaryota; Viridiplantae; Streptophyta; Magnoliopsida; Fabales; Fabaceae. The record is from Rfam.